AUUGAACGCUGGCGGCAUGCCUUACACAUGCAAGUCGAACGGCAGCGCGGGGCAACCUGGCGGCGAGUGGCGAACGGGUGAGUAACAUAUCGGAACAUACCCUAGAGUGGGGGAUAACGUAGCGAAAGUUACGCUAAUACCGCAUACGCACUAAGGUGGAAAGUGGGGGAUCUUCGGACCUCAUGCUCAUGGAGUGGCCGAUAUCUGAUUAGCUAGUUGGUGAGGUAAAGGCUCACCAAGGCGACGAUCAGUAGCUGGUUUGAGAGAACGACCAGCCACACUGGAACUGAGACACGGUCCAGACUCCUACGGAGGCAGCAGUGGGGAAGUUUUUGGACAAUGGGGCGAACCCUCGAUCCAGCAAUGCCGCGUGAGUGAAGAAGG
RNAcentral lists this ribosomal RNA (384 nucleotides) under uncultured bacterium. RNAcentral's name for it is "bacterial SSU rRNA". It matches the Rfam family "Bacterial small subunit ribosomal RNA", at positions 30 to 414 of the family's 1533-position model. The record is from RNAcentral.